UCUCCGUUGGUGAACCAGCGGAGGGAUCAUUACAGGACUCGCAAGACUCCUACAGCCCUGUGAACUUAACUAUAAGCACGUUGCUUCGGCGGGUGUCUCGGAGGGGGUUCUCCCUCCCCGAGACGCUAAACCCGCCGGCAGCCUACUAUACUCUGUCUCUUUGCGUUGGCAUCUCGAGUACAAUCAAACAAGUUAAAACUUUCGACAACGGAUCUCUUGGUUCUG
Molecule: unclassified non-coding RNA, 225 nt
Filed under: plant metagenome
Description: partial contains small subunit ribosomal RNA, internal transcribed spacer 1, and 5.8S ribosomal RNA
Source: RNAcentral